Molecule: ribosomal RNA, 276 nt
Filed under: uncultured bacterium
Lineage: Bacteria
Description: partial 16S ribosomal RNA
Rfam family: Bacterial small subunit ribosomal RNA
Source: RNAcentral
UACGUAGGUGGCAAGCGUUGUCCGGAAUUAUUGGGCGUAAAGCGCGCGCAGGCGGUCUUUUAAGUCUGAUGUGAAAGCCCACGGCUCAACCGUGGAGGGUCAUUGGAAACUGGGGGACUUGAGUGCAGAAGAGGAAAGUGGAAUUCCAAGUGUAGCGGUGAAAUGCGUAGAGAUUUGGAGGAACACCAGUGGCGAAGGCGACUUUCUGGUCUGUAACUGACGGCUGAGGCGCGAAAGCGUGGGGAGCAACAGGAGUUAAGAAACCCGGUAAGCCCC